GGUCAUUUAGGGUGCCAUUUGGGAUUUAGCCAGAAGGAUAUAAUAAUGUGUAUUACAUUCAUUUAAAUAAAUUUAACUAAAGACAACAGGUCUCUCCCUAGACUAGUUACUGGUUACAGACAACAGGUCUCUCCCUAGACUAGUUACUGGUUACAGACAACAUGUCUCUCCCUAGACUAGUUACUGGUUACAGACAACAGGUCUCUCCCUAGACUAGUUACUGGUUACAGACAACAGGUCUCUCCCUAGACUAGUUAUAGGUUACAGACAACAGGUCUCUCCCUAGACUAGUUACUGGUUACAGACAACAGGUCUCUCCCUAGACUAGUUAUAGGUUACAGACAACAGGUCUCUCCCUAGACUAGUUACAGACAACAGGUCUCUCCCUAGACUAGUUACUGGUUACAGACAACAGGUCUCUCCCUAGACUAGUUACUGGUUACAGACAACAGGUCUCUCCCUAGACUAGUUACUGGUUACAGACAACAGGUCUCUCCCUAGACUAGUUACUGGUUACAGACAACAGACUGCAACGCAGGGCUUGGUCAAGAGAAGUGUUGUGUAGGAUGCCGUUUGAGGUGUGGCACUAUGGAAAGCAGCGUCUGGGAGGUCAAGGGUCAAAGACCACCCAGGCAGAGGUCAAGGGUGGGUGACCUCACUCUCUUUAACAGU
Oncorhynchus tshawytscha (Chinook salmon) is the source of this 672-nucleotide long non-coding RNA. Lineage: Eukaryota; Metazoa; Chordata; Actinopteri; Salmoniformes; Salmonidae. The record is from Ensembl.